GGGCUCAUGGUCUAGUGGCUAUGACGUCUCCCUGACACGGAGGAGAUCGCCGGUUCGAAUCCGGCUGAGCCCAC
This 74-nucleotide transfer RNA is filed under the name Methanomassiliicoccales archaeon PtaU1.Bin030. RNAcentral describes it as "tRNA-Val". It matches the Rfam family "tRNA". From Rfam's summary of the family: Transfer RNA (tRNA) molecules are approximately 80 nucleotides in length. Lineage: Archaea; Methanobacteriati; Thermoplasmatota; Thermoplasmata; Methanomassiliicoccales. The record is from RNAcentral.